AAAUUGAAGAGUUUGAUCAUGGCUCAGAUUGAACGCUGGCGGCAGGCCUAACACAUGCAAGUCGAACGGUAACAGGAAUCAGCUUGCUGAUUUGCUGACGAGUGGCGGACGGGUGAGUAAUGUCUGGGAAACUGCCUGAUGGAGGGGGAUAAC
Molecule: ribosomal RNA, 153 nt
Filed under: Escherichia coli
Lineage: Bacteria; Pseudomonadati; Pseudomonadota; Gammaproteobacteria; Enterobacterales; Enterobacteriaceae
Description: partial 16S ribosomal RNA
Rfam family: Bacterial small subunit ribosomal RNA
Source: RNAcentral